AACGCCUUGGGGAGAAACUGCCCUGAGGGUGACGGUACUUGAGUAGAAAGCCCCGGCUAACUACGUGCCAGCAGCCGCGGUAAUCCGUAGGCGGCAAGCGCUGUCCGGAAUUAUUGGGCGUAAAGCGCGCGCAAGCGGCGGCUUAAGUUUGGUGUAUAAGCCCGGGGCUCAACCCCGGAUCGCACCGAAAACUGGGCGGCUUGAGUGCAGGAGAGGAAAGCGGAAUUCCACGUGUAGCGGUGAAAUGCGUAGAGAUGUGGAGGAACACCAGUGGCGAAGGCGGCUUACUGGUCUGUAACUGACGCUGAGGCGCGAAAGCGUGGGGAGCAAACAGGAUUAGAUACCCUGGUAGUCCACGCCGUAAACGAUGAGUGCUAGGUGCUAGGGGUUUCGAUACCCUUGGUGCCGAAGUCAACUCAAUAAGCACUCCGCCUGGGGAGUACGUUCGCAAGAGUGAAACUCAAAGGAAUUCACGGGGACCCGCACAAGCAGUGGAGUAUGU
RNAcentral lists this ribosomal RNA (502 nucleotides) under uncultured Bacillota bacterium. Its description in RNAcentral is "bacterial SSU rRNA". It matches the Rfam family "Bacterial small subunit ribosomal RNA", at positions 433 to 942 of the family's 1533-position model. The record is from RNAcentral. Lineage: Bacteria; Bacillati; Bacillota.